UGGGAGAGGGGAACCAUUUACUACCAUGGCAUAAAUGAGGAGGGGUUAUUUAAGAAAGAAGUCGACAAGCUUUUACUCCAAACACAGAUGGAGACCUCUGGUUUACUAAAGGGGCAGGUCUCUGCUGAGCUUCGCAGAACUAUGUAGUUCUCUGUCUCUUGCCUCCUUCUGAUGCCUGGAUGUUUGGGUUCCAUUUCGAUCAGAUAUGCCCUGCAACUCCGGCCCAUUUGUCUUCUCUUGGAGGAGCCAGACAAGAUUCUCAUUUAUUCACUUGCAAUCAGCUACUGCCAUCACACAGAGACACACAGCGUGCGUGAGCAUUAUUACACCAGGGGCAUCAUAUGCUCAGGCAUGGGCCAGGGAGGGGUGGAGUCUUGGCUGGCAGGCUUAUCUGUGACAGAAGUGAUCAGUAGACAGUUUUUCUGUCAAAAACAAAGGUGAUACUUCGCCUACUAGGCAUCAUUCUCUGUGGCUGCCCUGAGUGGGUUGCCAUAUUUAGUUCCUUACAACUCAAUAGGUAGCCACAGCCAACUAGAUUGGGGGGCACCUAAUGGACAGAUCCAGUUGGAUUUUCUGAAGAAUCCCAGGUGGAGAUGGGGAAACUUCAUGUGGCUAAGUGACUGAAAACAAGUUAAGAGACUUCACCAGGGUGUAGAGAGCAGAGACAUUGCCUCCCCAGGACCUGGAACAAUACCUGUUAUACGGCAGAAGUUCAAUCAAUAUCUGCAGAAUAAAUAAAUGAAUAUGAAUGCCUGAAGGGUACUAUUAUGCCAUCCUGUCAUGCUGUGCCUCUGCCUGAAUUGAGCGGAGAGCCCACUUCUCUGAAACAAUGGAAGCUCAUGUGCUUGAUGGUCCCCAAGUAACUGACCUCUGAUCACAAGGACAGAACCAGCAGGAUUCGUUCUGAGCCUCGGAGAACCAAACAGUGUAUGGACAGCAUCAGUCAAGCAAAGACUUGCUUAUGAAUUUUGGGAAUAGAAGUUAAUUUUCUCCUGCAAGUUUUCACAGUGGAAAGCCUGUCGCUAUGUCAUGAGGACACUCAACCCUAUGGAAUGGACCGUGCAGCAUGGAAGAUGCCUUCUACCAACAACCAGCACAAACUCAUUGGGCAUCUGACUGAGCAAAACUGGAAGCAAAUCUCCGGCCCCAGUCAAGCCUUCAGAUAACUGCAGCCCCAGCCAACAUCUUGGCAGACACCUCACAAGAGACCCUGAAUCAGAACCAUCUAGCUAAGCCACUCCUGAACAUUGUACUAUAGAAACAGUGUAAAAUAAUAAAUGUUUACUGUUGUUUGGACCACUAGGUUUGGCAGUCAUGCAGCAGAUGUAUAACCAAUAUUCCAACAAAAUCUAAAACUCUGGUGUUUCCUUCCUCAGACAUGUCCAUCACAGUCUAAUUUCAACAAAUCAUGCAGGGAAUAAUGAGGAUCUGUUUCAAGAUAGUGGUAAUAGAUGUGGCAAGAGAUGAAUGGACUAAAUAGACAUUAAGGAAGCAUUUGACAGACCUGGUGACAGGAGUGGGGAGUAAGAGAGUGACAGAAGUUUAGGAUAAGAGGCUUGUUUACUUGGUUUUAUGUUUUGCUGAGCUCAGUUCCAAAAGGAAUGAAACAAAAAUUCAGCCAAAUAACCUUUAAUGAGUUAGGACUUCUUUCAUCAAUCAGUGUGUACAAUUUCUUCACAGAAUCAGAUUUUAAAUAUUGUGAUUGAAAAGAGAAAAUGGUAAGAGGAGGUUACUUUUAUGGUAGAUCAACAAUAGUCUUUUUUGCUUUCAUAUUUCUGUUUAUACUCUUGAAAUUUCCUUUAUAUGCAUUAGCUCAUUUGCUGUUUACAACAAUAUUAUGUAUUAGCUCAGCCAGUGUUUAUGCAAAUAUAAGCAGUGAGAAAAAAGUGAGAUAAUGUGCCAGUUAGUGCAUUUUUUAUUGAAAUUGUGACAGAAGACUCAACUCAAAUGGGCUUAAGCUAAAAAGAGAUUUUAUUGCUGAAUUUGUAGGAAUAGGUACAGCUUCAGAUCAGUGAGAUUCAGUCCU
Long non-coding RNA from Canis lupus familiaris (dog), 2026 nucleotides. RefSeq lists it as uncharacterized. Lineage: Eukaryota; Metazoa; Chordata; Mammalia; Carnivora; Canidae. The transcript has 7 exons. The record is from RefSeq and is a predicted model, not a curated record.